CCACCACGUCGUCGACAUUGAUUCAUGUUCUCCCACCACUCUGCUUGAUGAUGGGUCAGCAGCCCGUUUCCAUU
This 74-nucleotide non-coding RNA is filed under the name uncultured Nitzschia. Lineage: Eukaryota; Bacillariophyta; Bacillariophyceae; Bacillariales; Bacillariaceae. The record is from RNAcentral.